UUAUAUUCUCCGCAGGGGGGGAUGAGAACCCCCGACCGGGGUUCGACAACUGGCGCAGCCAGUUGGACAGACCGCGCACGCAGUAAGCGGGGGCUGCCCCGCAGGGGCGAGCGAAGCGAGUCAAUCCCCCCCUCACCGCCA
RNAcentral lists this small RNA (141 nucleotides) under Klebsiella pneumoniae. RNAcentral describes it as "RtT sRNA". It matches the Rfam family "RtT RNA". Rfam says of the family: This family represents a bacterial cis-regulatory element known as RtT RNA. The exact function of RtT is unknown although it is thought that it may be involved in changing the cellular response in relation to amino acid starvation. RNAcentral also lists the same sequence under 1 other name. The record is from RNAcentral. Lineage: Bacteria; Pseudomonadati; Pseudomonadota; Gammaproteobacteria; Enterobacterales; Enterobacteriaceae.